This is a long non-coding RNA of Acipenser ruthenus (sterlet), 7308 nucleotides long. RefSeq lists it as uncharacterized. Lineage: Eukaryota; Metazoa; Chordata; Actinopteri; Acipenseriformes; Acipenseridae. The record is from RefSeq and is a predicted model, not a curated record. The transcript is spliced from 2 exons.
UUCAUUUUGGAGUGCUUGCAGUAAUGUUAGGAGGAGGAGCUGUUGUAGUCACGAGUCUUUGAUUCCUAAAGGGCACAUGAGUCUCGUCCAUUUAAAACAGAUAACCUGGGAUUCCCAAAUUGAUUUCUCUUAGGGGCUACCAAAAAAUAUAAAGAACGAUCUGCUGUAGUUGCUAUCUGAUUGUAGUCUUCCGUCUUGGCCACAUUGAUAUCUGCGGUUCUCGAUACCAGAGGUUCAGCAACACAUUUAUUGCUUGAUAAAAUUACAGUUCCCCAUUGUUAUUAGUUAAACAAUUCAGUAUACAGUAAUCCAUCGCAUAUCUGACUGCGAAGGGACCAGAGUAAGGGCGGAUAUGUAAAAAGUCUGAUGUUGAAAUAAUGUUUUAAAUACCAUUAUACACAGCUGUAACGAUUACUAUAGUCACACAAUUAUUGAGAUUCAGCUUUUAUAUUAGAGUAUUAAUGCUUGUGACAGAGUAGCCGUCUGCCAUGUGAGUGCGUGCAUUCACUGCUGAGUGACAGGCAGGAGAUCGAGACAGAGGUUGAAGUUGAUAUGCCAAGCAGGCAAACAGGAUUUAUGUACAUAUGAAACCACUGAACAGCUCAUAUGACACUACCAGCAAUGACAACGCACGGAGCACAUACAACACAGUGUAUGAAGACUUUGGUAGGAUCUACAAUAUCUAAACUAAUCUUCUCUUCUAUAAUAAAGUAACAUUGCUGAAGAGGUUGAUCGUGGCAGAUAAACGGUUUGGGCGGAUUUGUGACGGGCGGAUAUGUGACGGAUUACUGUAUCCAUUAGGUUCAUCCAACUCGGUUUACAAUCGCUUUGUUACAAAUGGACGCAUUGAGCUUUUCUGUUUUCUGAACUGUAUGUGGUUUACAUUAUUUUAUAUGAAUGGUGGUGAUUUGUUUCCCAAACUGCAAACAUGAUUGUUUCAGCCUAUCACGAAAGGCCUUGGGGAGAUGUACCUUAUUAAUGAAAAGAGAAGGUUGUCUAUGUUGUAAACCAUUGACUUGUCUAUUUUAAAUUCUCUUUUUCCUUUAAGCAUAUACUUCAGUGUUAUCUGUCCCCACGGCUCAAUUAAGAGGUAGCUCUAUUGUAUCGACAAUCCCAAGUGAGAGAAUGAUAAAUCUGAGUGAGCACAGGCUUCUGCAUCUCGAUUAACUGAGAGACGGCAGUCAGACCACCGUGGUGUAAUGGUGCUUCAGCUAUUCCCAAGCCUUACCUAAUGUGAAGAGACACAUGUUCUUUAUUGAGGAAUUCAAAACCCUUUCCUUAUUAGAAGUUAGUGUGCUGAACUGGGUUGCUUUAUGAAGUUGUCCGAGUACUGUAGUAAAUAUAAGUUUGAUAUAUUGGUUGCCAAUGACCACCUUGUUGCGUUUGUCUGAAUUACUACCCUUUAAAUUAUUUACUUUUAAAUCUAAUGGUAUUUGUAUGUAACAGGAAUAUAGUAUUGUGAUUCUAAUAAGGGAAUGGGUUGAUAACCCUAAAAUCAAUAUAAAUAAAGACCCACUGCAACAGCUAUCCCUUAAGUACAAACUAGAGGCUCUCCAAAAUAAUUCAGUUUGUUUGUUUAUAAUGGUUGUAAAAUGUACAUAAACAGCUCAGGCACUAAAUCAUUACAUUGAGAGCUGCAGUAUUUCAGGGUGUGACAGCGCCUAGCUGUGUGAUCUGUGAAAGAUACUGUAGCAACAACAGAGAAGACCAUGCUGGGAAAAAAAAGCUCUUAGAGGUCACCUUGCAGAGAAAAAGCUAAUAUGAAAAAAGUGGAUUUUACGGUUUAUUGUAAGGUUUACUUUUUUCUGUGCUUUGGUUUGUUGAAACCAACUCAGACGGUUUUAACAAUUAAACCUCAAACACAGAACACUGGCAACUUAUUACCAGCUCUAAUUAAAUCCAGACUUUGUAUAUUCCAAAGAAAAUAGAAACAACGUCAGAAUUCAAACGUUAGACACAGUAUGGUGGGAGCAGGAAAAUGUAUAAUACAUAAAAACAAAACGAUAACAAAAUCAUUUAUAGCAUUAGAAAAAUCUAUUGCCUAGUGCAGAGAUUUAAAUGAUAGAGAUACUCACAAGUGUAUGAAUUUAGACAUGCUUUUCCUUAUAUAACAUCCAUUCACUUUUAUAUAUAUAUAUUAUUUUUUCUCUCUUUGGCUAAUGAUCUGAACCUACACAUACUAAAUGUAUGUGGUUCAAACCAGUAUGGGGUCUAGCUGCUGCUCAGAAAGCACAGCUAUUACCGGUACUGAAAGUGGUAGACCACACUAUGAAUUAAAUCUGCAUGGCACUCUUAGUAUAAUGUUGUACAGUAUCUGCCAAAGGUUGAAUGCAAAAUAGCAAAUUAUAGGUCUUUAACAAAAUUCUUAGGCAUUUAUCAAAACAUUUAGCCUAAUACAUAGGCUUUAAAUGAUCUAGAAUUUUUCUUACACACUGUAUUUAAAAAAAAAACAAACUGUAAAUAUUCUUUCAUUCAGUUGACUAAAAAAUGCAGACUGUAUAGCAAUCUUUACGAUACCAUUGGAAUUCAAGUCAACGAUUUAUAGUCUGUAAACACUUAAUGCAACAGACAAUAUGGGACAAAUUCUCUCUUCAUAGUUGUGAGACUGUAGGCAGCAGACCUUUGUGGUUUACAGUAUCCAUAAAGAUAACUGCAUUUUCAAGAUUACGUAGUCAUUUAGUGGUACAGUUAAAAUAAUCAAUAUUAAACUGUUUCAGCAUCAUCAGUUCUCUUGGAGUGAGACAGGCUCUGAUUAAUGAAGUGUCAUUAACAAGGGCAUUACUUCAUGACAGAUGCCUUUUAUAUACAUUUGUAUCUAUAUUUAGGUACCUUCAUCUCUGUUUCAUUUGUAAUAGUCCCCACAUUUAUGAAGACAUUCAUCUUUACUCAUUAGGAACCGGUGCUAAAACCCUUUAAAAAUGCCUCAUACUCAGAAGACAGAAAAUCGUUUGACAAGACCUACUAAAACAGCAAAUAAUUACAUUGGAACAACACGUCGCUUUUUUUCAUACGCCUACCAACAAGCUUUUUCAGAACAUUAAUUCAGGACUGCAAUAACUUGUACAUAACUUGUAUGUUUUACUUCUAUAUGUCUAUUUGUAUUUAUUUAUUUAUUUAUUAUAGCUACAAAAUAUAUUUUAGUCAACCAUACUUCUUAUUCUUAUUCUCACCACUGUAAUGUUUUGGCUUUUCUUACUCAGUGAACUUGUGUAUUGGCUACUACUAUUAAAAAAAAAAAAAAUUUAAAGUUACAGAAUAUGCUUUGUGCAUAACUCCUGUACUUUUAAUUAUUUUUUGUUUCACUUAAUGCUGAAAAAUUGUCUAGCAGGAUUCCUUUAAUAGACCUGCUGCACUGUCAGUCAUUCAUUACCUGUGUUUUUAUUUAAAUGAAAUCCAUGGCCAGGGAGGAGAUACUGAACUGCAUCAUACAGUCAAACAUCUACUGGAUUAAAACUGCAGUAACAACUGUAAAGGAUAAUGAGAUCGAAUAAUAAAUCAGUAGGCUUUUGUGUCCUCUGUAGGCUUCCCUGCAAGGUUUUGGACUGUGCAAUUAAACUGGCUUGUUUACGAAGACCUGAAUGCUUUCUAAUAGAGGCACUGGGAGGUGCUGUGUGGAGGCCUCACAAAGCAGACCUGUGGGUGGAUACUGUGGAGAUUUAAUUUGGACUCCCAUGGACCAAGUUUAUCAUCAAAGUACAAAUGGUUCAAAGUUUGGACUUUUUAAAUGUAUGAUUUUUUUGUGCCCAGUUCAUUUUACUGGGAAGACAAACUUGGUUGGUACAAUACUGAACUACAAAGGCAGUUUAUCAUUGGCUGAUAAGCUGUAGAUUAAAAUGUCAGAUAAAAAAUGUACCCAAACAUGUGUCAGGCCAACAUAUAUACACAACAACUAACUUAAAGAUUGCUUUGCAAACUGAGAAUGGAACAUGUCUUUUUUCAACAGAUAGACAUGCAGUAUAUAGAUUGAUUCUAAUAUGACCUUUUUAGUCUGUGUUUGUAAAUAAUAGUUCUAACAACAAAUCUGGUUAACCCUUAAGGCCUGGUCACGCGGGCGACUUUUGUCGAUGGCAACAAGAGGACCACAUUUGUUGCCUGCGUGUUGCCUUGCAGUUUGCGGUCAUCACAUGAGAGACAAGCAUGCAUUCAACAAGCUGGUAACACACAGCAAACAACGUAAUGCAACCCAAUCAUAAUGUGUGCUUUUGUCAGGAGACGUAAACAUGCCGUGAAGGAAGGAUCCUGCUGUUGCUUUAAUAGCAGUGAUAGAUGAGGAAGAGCAGAAAAAAAAUUAAGUUUGGUUCAGCCCUGGGUUAUGAGAAAUGAAGAAAUAUUAUUGAAUCACUUGGUUUUAAACUUGCACAAAAAAAAAAAACCUUUUGGAUUUUUUUUUUUUCUAAAAUGUGUUGAACAAGUAGCCAACUGUUACAAAAAUGCAACCAUUACAACCUUUUCAUUUUUUUUAUCAUGUGAGCAGAAAAUAAUUUUUUUUAUUGUAUUUUGUUUUCAUUUACUAUAAAAAUAAAUAAAUAAUAAAAAAAUAUUGAAACAAAGGAAACACAAAGUAACAGAUGGCCUCCACAGGAACCUUUUAUUUUGUUAUAGGUAAUUAUUUCUCAAACCAAUAAAAAAAAUGCAAAAUAAUCUAUUAGCUUCACUUCUAAAUGAUGCGUCCACAUCACUAUUUAUUAUCAUGUGACACUACUAUCAAAUAUGAUUGGCUAGUAUUGAAAAUGUUGCCCUCGUGUCGCCUGAAAAAUAGAACAUCAUCCUAAAGUGGGAGACACGUCGCCAGUGUGUCGCCAGGGUGUUAACCAGGCCUUUAGACCUCAAAGUGGACAUGAAUAAUUAUAAGCUUAUAUACACUUUACCACAGGGGCAGGUACAUAACAUUAGAAAAGCCUAGCUCUGGAAUGUGCAGCUAGAGUGAACAUUCAUGUCAUGGUCAAGAAAGCUACCACGCUGUGUAGCCUAUUGUGUAAACUCAAUCUGUGGAGAAUGGUAGAGAUAUCUGUGUGUAAAUGUGAGAGGGUGAGAGAGUGACGGGUCUGGGUUGGAAGCGAGUCGUAAAAAUCAGACCCCUGUAGGACUCUAAAGCCACAUUUAUUUAGUUGUCUUUGGAGCUUAUCCUAAAACUACUUUCAGUUUAAAUGAUUUGUUUUAAUGCUGAUGGUAGAUAAUUACAAUUAACAAGCAUUCGAUCCUUCCAAAUGUCUAUCAUGCUGUUAGUUAAAAACAACUGCUCAAAUUGAACAUUAGUCAGUAAGAGCAAUUGAAGACAAGUUCCAGAUUUCAGCCAGGCGCUGCUGAUUUUCAUUUGUCACAUUAGCAUUUUCCUUUAAAAAACAUGGGUUUGAUGUCUGGUUGGGCUAUAAUGGCUAGGUAAGAUUGUAAUCAGGUUACCUACAAAAAUCUAUAUUAAAAUUAUAUAAAAACUGUAUUUAAAAAAAAAACCUGAUUGCUGUACCUUGUGUUCUAAAAUAAUAUUUUAAAAUAAUAAAUCAUCUCUGUUUAUUGACAUAAAAAAGGAUGCAAAGAGCAGGCUGUACAACAAGUGAUACCAGACAACAUAAGCUAUCUUUUUUGUAAAAAAAAUGAUUAAGGUGCUCAUGUCCCAUGCUUCAUUCAUUUUCUUCAUAUAAUUACUUACAUCAUUUUUAAAGAUAAAGUUUAAUAUGUUGUACAUUUAACUACCUCAGCUCGGUUUGUACUACAAAAUAUCCUCCACCCUACUUAAAAAGCUCUAGUUAAAGUGAUAUUUGUGUAGAUUGUGUCGGUCUGUUGAGAACAGGUCUGUUAAAAGUGUGGUAAACUUUCACAUUAUUAUAUGCAGAUUGCAGUUAAAAUGUUACAUUACAGCAAAGGUGCAGUGUAUCUUGCUCAGCGCUUUAGUGCGUCCAAAAACAAAUCAAAAACCAGGAAACCUGCUUUUUUUCUCUCCUUAAGUUAACAAAAAAAAAACAUUUAUUGGUUAGAAAAAAUCAAAAUGAGCUGCUUAAAUAUAUUUAAUUUGCCUUAAAAAAAUACUUCUAUGCUCUUGUUUCUCUCCUGUCUUGCAAACACUGUCAUUGUUGUACCCCUGAUGGCAUGUCAAGUGCUAUAUGAAACAAAGCGAGUUGAUACGUUUUUCAAUUAUUCUAGCGUAAAAUUGUACAGUGAUAUUGAUUGUUUAAAAAGUCAGCAUUUGCUUUGAAUACAGUAAAACAAUGGGAUACUACAUGGUUGUUGGCAGUAAUAUGGUGCUUGUUUUUCCCAAUCCCCUUCAAUUGGCCAAAAGUAAAGACAGAAUUUGGCACCGUUAGACUACCGUAAAUGGCUGUUAGUGAAAAGCAGGUCUUUGCGAAUGAUGUCAGAAAUGCUGGUCUGUGUCAUGCAUCUCCGUUCAGCUAGUGGCACACAGACAAUUAUUAAUGAGCUGCGUUUCCGUGGUGCCAGUCAUGGGGGCCUUGAGGAAGUACUGUAGCUGUCCAUAUGAAAAAGAAAAUACUAUAAUUCUGCCAAAAUUCCUUUCGUAAUAAUGUAUCUGUUGCUGUACUUCAAUACUGUAUAGACAGUGCACAGUGGUGACAUUUCAGUAGUAUGUUUGCAAACUGCCCAUUAAUGUGUCCAAUAGUUGUCUUGAUGCAUUGUAAGCUUUUAAAGAAAUGAAAUGUUGCUCAGGGGAAGAGCAGCCUGGAUACAGGAUGUCCCUCUGAGGAAUCUUCCUUUCUUUGGUGUGAAAUGUAUGGCAGUUUUUUGUAUAGAAGUAGAAUUCACCCCAGCUACAGUAUGAUGAUUAUUAUAUACAUCUUGUCUGAGGUAGUACAAGCACAGUAACUUAAACAAAUGGUAACAAUGGCAGUAAUUUGUAAACAUAAUGUACAAAUGUACUUGUUAUUUUUAUUUGCAAUGGAAAAUUAAAAAUAGUUAUUUGACAAAUAUUUGAACUGUAUAUAAAUGUAUGCAAAUUUCCAUGUUGAAAACAUUCCUUUCAGAGUGCUGAUUGUAAAGGAUGUCUGUAUUGGCUAGAGAAUGCCGAAACAAUGAGACGGCAGAUACAUAUGAUAUAGUAAAGAUCAAACUAGUGUUGUGUAUGUGAUGUAUUAAAAAACAAAUACCUUGGUUAUUUUUGGUCUAUUGAGUAAGUUGCAUUUUGUGAUGAAAGUAUGAAAUUGUGCUUAAAACAUUGGUUAAACUUACUUUUAUUGUAAAAUUAAACUUUAAAAAAAUGACCUUGAGAUUUUGUAUAUCUUGGAUUUUUGUAAAUUUAUUUUAUUUUACUGCAACACAAGGUACCAAAUUCAUUAAAUAAAGUACACUGUGGUCAUUUUA